GGGGACGACCGGUAUUGACAGCGGGCUGAGGGUUGGUGUAUAAGCAUGUCGGGAGUUGGAAGAACCUCCCGUUAAAAAUUCUUCUAUAACAAUAGCUGGCAAUUAUAGCUACGCUAUGGCUGCUUAAUCCGACGGAUUAACCAAUAGCCAUCGUCCCGCCGACCCAACGCACUGCCGGGUUGGAGUUCGGGGCGUCGCAAUGCAGUGCCGACCUGGCCCACGGGGUUAAGCCAGACUCGUACCAACUCCUAAGGAAGCCACUUUGGUGCGUUGCCGACCUGGCGGCUUCCCGACAACCCAACGGCAACUAAGCAUGUAGAAGGCACGGCUACUCCCUGUUCUGGACGUGGGUUCGACUCCCACCGUCUCCACUU
This 374-nucleotide transfer-messenger RNA is filed under the name Cytophagaceae bacterium. It matches the Rfam family "transfer-messenger RNA". Rfam says of the family: Bacterial tmRNA, also known as 10Sa RNA or SsrA, is named for its dual tRNA and mRNA-like properties. Its role is to liberate the mRNA from a stalled ribosome. Lineage: Bacteria; Pseudomonadati; Bacteroidota; Cytophagia; Cytophagales; Cytophagaceae. The record is from RNAcentral.